GCUGAUAAUAAAGUGGAUGUAAUAGGCAUUCUUGAAACCAGAGUAAAAGAACAUAAAGCUAAGAAUAUAAUUGGGAAAAUUGCUAAGGGCUGGCAGUGGAAGUGUAACUAUGAAAAGGCUAUAAAUGGGAGAAUAUGGCUACUAUGGAAGUCUCAUAUCCACAUUCAAAUAGGAACUUUAUCUGAUCAGUAUCUUCAUUGUCUGGUGGAGGGGCUACUAUGGAAGUCUCAUAUCCACAUUCAAAUAGGAACUUUAUCUGAUCAGUAUCUUCAUUGUCUAGUGGAGGAUACAAGAAGUCUUAUAAGAUUUCAGUUCAGUAUUAUAUAUGCACAAAACACUGCUUAGGGCACAACUAUGGAGGGACCUCAAGUCAAUUCCU
This 379-nucleotide long non-coding RNA is filed under the name Nicotiana benthamiana. Its description in RNAcentral is "long non-coding RNA (NBEN_LNC014974)". The record is from RNAcentral. Lineage: Eukaryota; Viridiplantae; Streptophyta; Magnoliopsida; Solanales; Solanaceae.